GGGAUGGUGAUGGUGUCCUGCGCGAGGCCAGCCGCAACGAGCAGACCAAGGUGUCAGUGGAAAACGGGGACGCCCCCAGCCCGGAGAAGAACGGCCCCCUGCCCUCGGAGCUGGAGGCGCUGAGCGCAGCGCUGCCGCGGCUCCAGGGCCCGGUGCUGGAGCUGGCCCCGUGUCCCCGUGGUGUCCC
Malurus melanocephalus (red-backed fairy wren) is the source of this 187-nucleotide long non-coding RNA. RefSeq lists it as uncharacterized. The transcript is spliced from 3 exons. The record is from RefSeq and is a predicted model, not a curated record. Lineage: Eukaryota; Metazoa; Chordata; Aves; Passeriformes; Maluridae.